Molecule: ribosomal RNA, 468 nt
Filed under: uncultured bacterium
Lineage: Bacteria
Description: partial 16S ribosomal RNA
Rfam family: Bacterial small subunit ribosomal RNA
Source: RNAcentral
GACGAACGCUGGCGGCGUGCUUAACACAUGCAAGUCGAACGGAAAGGCCCUGCUUUUGUGGGGUGCUCGAGUGGCGAACGGGUGAGUAACACGUGAGUAACCUGCCCUUGACUUUGGGAUAACUUCAGGAAACUGGGGCUAAUACCGGAUAGGAGCUCCUGCUGCAUGGUGGGGGUUGGAAAGUUUCGGCGGUUGGGGAUGGACUCGCGGCUUAUCAGCUUGUUGGUGGGGUAGUGGCUUACCAAGGCUUUGACGGGUAGCCGGCCUGGGAGGGUGACCGGCCCACGUGGGGAUUGGUAACGGGCCGACCCCCAACGGGGGGAAAGGGGGGGGAAAUUGUGCCAAAGGGGGGGAGCCGUAAGCAGGAAACCCCCGGGGGGGGAGGCGGCCUUUGGGGUUGAAACCCGUUUUGCCCUGGAAGAAAGGGGAGGGACGGGAAAUGGGUAAAAAACACCGGCCAACUACGGG